AUGAACGCUGGCGGCGUGCCUAAUACAUGCAAGUCGAGCGAACGGACGAGAAGCUUGCUUCUCUGAUGUUAGCGGCGGACGGGUGAGUAACACGUGGAUAACCUACCUAUAAGACUGGGAUAACUUCGGGAAACCGUAGCUAAUACCGGAUAAUAUUUUGAACCGCAUGGUUCAAAAGUGAAAGACGGUCUUGCUGUCACUUAUAGAUGGAUCCGCGCUGCAUUAGCUAGUUGGUAAGGUAACGGCUUACCAAGGCAACGAUGCAUAGCCGACCUGAGAGGGUGAUCGGCCACACUGGAACUGAGACACGGUCCAGACUCCUACGGGAGGCAGCAGUAGGGAAUCUUCCGCAAUGGGCGAAAGCCUGACGGAGCAACGCCGCGUGAGUGAUGAAGGUCUUCGGAUCGUAAAACUCUGUUAUUAGGGAAGAACAUAUGUGUAAGUAACUGUGCACAUCUUGACGGUACCUAAUCAGAAAGCCACGGCUAACUACGUGCCAGCAGCCGCGGUAAUACGUAGGUGGCAAGCGUUAUCCGGAAUUAUUGGGCGUAAAGCGCGCGUAGGCGGUUUUCAAGUCUGAUGUGAAAGCCCACGGUCAACCGUGGAGGGUCACUUGGAAACUGGACAAUUGAGUGCAGAAGAGGACCGUGGAAUUCCAUGUGUAGCGGUGAACUGCGCAGAGAUCUGGAGGAACACCAUUGGCGCAAGGCGACUUCUCGGUUCUGUCAAUGACGCUGAAUGUGCGAAAAGCGUGGGGGA
RNAcentral lists this ribosomal RNA (759 nucleotides) under uncultured Staphylococcus sp. Its description in RNAcentral is "bacterial SSU rRNA". It matches the Rfam family "Bacterial small subunit ribosomal RNA", at positions 29 to 768 of the family's 1533-position model. The record is from RNAcentral. Lineage: Bacteria; Bacillati; Bacillota; Bacilli; Caryophanales; Staphylococcaceae.